RNAcentral lists this ribosomal RNA (292 nucleotides) under uncultured bacterium. Its description in RNAcentral is "partial 16S ribosomal RNA". The record is from RNAcentral.
GGACUACAGGGGUAUCUAAUCCUGUUUGCUCCCCACGCUGUCGCGCCUCAGUGUCAGUCACUGCCCAGCUGGCCGCCUUCGCCACCGGUCUUCUGCCGGAUCUCUACGCAUUCCACCGCUACACCCGGCAUUCUACCAGCCCCUACAGUACUCGAGUCUCGCAGUCUCCGCGGCAGACCCGGGGUUGAGCCCCGGGCUUUCACCACAGACUUACGACACCACCUACGCGCCCUUUACGCCCAGUGAUUCCGGACAACGCUUGCACCCCCCGUAUUACCGCGGCUGCUGGCAC